AGAAGGCUUUCGGGUCGUAAACUUUUGUCUUUCGGGAAGAAAAAAAUGACGGUACCGAAGGAGGAAGCCACGGCUAACUACGUGCCAGCAGCCGCGGUAAUACGUAGGUGGCGAGCGUUGUCCGGAAUUACUGGGUGUAAAGGGUGUGUAGGCGGGGAUGCAAGUCAGAUGUGAAAGACCGGGGCUCAACUCCGGGGCUGCAUUUGAAACUGCAACUCUUGAGUGCAGGAGAGGAAAGCGGAAUUCCUAGUGUAGCGGUGAAAUGCGUAGAGAUUAGGAGGAACACCAGUGGCGAAGGCGGCUUUCUGGACUGUAACUGACGCUGAGGCACGAAAGCGUGGGGAGCGAACAGGAUUAGAUACCCUGGUAGUCCACGCUGUAAACGAUGGAUACUAGGUGUAGGGGGUAUCGACCCCCUCUGUGCCGGAGUUAACACAAUAAGUAUCCCAC
Molecule: ribosomal RNA, 450 nt
Filed under: uncultured Bacillota bacterium
Lineage: Bacteria; Bacillati; Bacillota
Description: bacterial SSU rRNA
Rfam family: Bacterial small subunit ribosomal RNA
Source: RNAcentral